RNAcentral lists this small nuclear RNA (138 nucleotides) under Neogale vison (American mink). RNAcentral's name for it is "Neovison vison (American mink) U4 spliceosomal RNA (ENSNVIG00000013063.1)". It matches the Rfam family "U4 spliceosomal RNA". From Rfam's summary of the family: U4 small nuclear RNA (U4 snRNA) is a component of the major U2-dependent spliceosome. The structure of U4 snRNA from yeast and human has been reported. U4 snRNA presents a k-turn RNA motif in the 5p-SL related to recognition of Snu13 protein. The record is from Rfam by way of RNAcentral. Lineage: Eukaryota; Metazoa; Chordata; Mammalia; Carnivora; Mustelidae.
AGCUUUGCGCAGUGGCAGUAUCGUAGCCAAUGAGGUUUAUUCGAGGCGCGAUUAUUGCUAAUUGAAAUUACCAUCAUGUUUAGCAAAAGCAACCACCCUGAAACUACUAAUAAUGGUAAUAAUAUGUGUUUGUAGACA